GGGUCUGGUUUUGAAAUGAGGACAAUCUAAAUCCCUUACCGAGGAUCCAUUGGAGGGCAAGUCUGGUGCCAGCAGCCGCGGUAAUUCCAGCUCCAAUAGCGUAUAUUUAAGUUGUUGCAGUUAAAAAGCUCGUAGUUGGAUUUCGGGCGGGUACCGCCGGUCUCCCGUUUGGGUAUGUAUUGGCGCGGCCCGCCUUGCUGUCGGGGACGGUUGCCUGAGCUUAACUGCUCGGGCGCCGGAGUCGACGACGUUACUUUGAGUAAAUUAGAGUGUUCAAAGCAAGCUGUCGCUCUGAAUAUGAUAGCAUGGGAUAACACGACAGGACUCUGGCCUAUCGUGUUGGUCUGUAGGACCGGAGUAAUGAUUAAGAGGGACGGUCGGGGGCAUUCGUAUUCCAUUGUCAGAGGUGAAAUUCUUGGAUUUAUGGGGGACGAACAAUUGCGAAAGCAUUUGCCAAGGAUGUUUUCAUUGAUCAAGAACGAAAGUUGGGGGCUCGAAGACGAUUAGAUACCGUUGUAGUCUCAACCAUAAACGAUGCCGACUCGGGAUUGGCGGGUGUUUAUUCGAUGACUCCGCCAGCACCGUAUGAGAAAUCAAAGUUUUUGGGUUCCGGGGGGAGUAUGGUCGCAAGGCUGAAACUUAAAGGAAUUGACGGAAGGGCACCACCAGGCGUGGAGCCUGCGGCUCAAUUUGACUCAACACGGGAAAACUUACCAGGUCCAGACGUAGGAAGGAUUGACAGAUUGAUAGCUCUUUCUUGAUUCUUAUGGGUGGUGGUGCAUGGCCGUUCUUAGUUGGUGGGUUGCCUUGUCAGGUUGAUUCCGGUAACGAACGAGACCUCAGCCUGCUAAAUAGUCACGGCUGCAUCCGCAGCUGGCAAACUUCUUAGAGGGACUGUUGGCGACUAGCCAACGGAAGUAUGAGGCAAUAACAGGUCUGUGAUGCCCUUAGAUGUUCUGGCCGCACGCGCGCUACACUGAUACGUUCAACAAGUUCCUUGGCUCGAAAGGUCUGGGUAAUCUUUGAAACCGUAUCGUGAUGGGGAUAGAACAUUGCAAUUAUUGUUCUUCAACGAGGAAUGCCUAGUAAUCGCGAGUCAUCAUCUCGCGUUGAUUACGUCCCUGCCCUUUGUACACACCGCCCGUCGCUCCUACCGAUUGGAUGUGCUGGUGAAGACUUCGG
Molecule: ribosomal RNA, 1182 nt
Filed under: uncultured eukaryote
Lineage: Eukaryota
Description: SSU rRNA
Rfam family: Eukaryotic small subunit ribosomal RNA
Source: RNAcentral